This 2923-nucleotide ribosomal RNA is filed under the name Methylomonas methanica. Its description in RNAcentral is "bacterial LSU rRNA". It matches the Rfam family "Bacterial large subunit ribosomal RNA". The record is from RNAcentral. RNAcentral also lists the same sequence under 1 other name. Lineage: Bacteria; Pseudomonadati; Pseudomonadota; Gammaproteobacteria; Methylococcales; Methylococcaceae.
GUUAUAUGGUCAAGUGAAUAAGCGCAUACGGUGAAUGCCUAGGCAGUAAGAGGCGAUGAAGGACGUUGUAGCAUGCGAAAAGCUUUGGGGAGCCUGCAAACCGGCUGUGAUCCAGAGAUGUCCGAAUGGGGAAACCCGGCGUGCAUAAGCACGUCAUCUUUGAGUGAAUACAUAGCUCACUGAAGCGAACCCGGAGAACUGAAACAUCUAAGUACCCGGAGGAAAAGAAAUCAACCGAGAUUCCCUAAGUAGUGGCGAGCGAACGGGGACUAGCCCUUAAGCUAGGAUAAGGUUAGUGGAACGGUCUGGAAAGUCCGGCGAUACAGGGUGAUAGCCCCGUACACGAAAACCUUUUUUUAGUGAAAUCGAGUAGGUCGGAGCACGUGAAACUUUGACUGAAUAUGGGGGGACCAUCCUCCAAGGCUAAAUACUCCUUACUGACCGAUAGUGAACUAGUACCGUGAGGGAAAGGCGAAAAGAACCGCGGAGAGCGGAGUGAAAUAGAACCUGAAACCGUAUGCGUACAAGCAGUGGGAGCCCCUUCGUGGGGUGACUGCGUACCUUUUGUAUAAUGGGUCAGCGACUUACAUUUUGUGGCAAGCUUAACCGAAUAGGGGAGGCGUAGCGAAAGCGAGUCUUAAUAGGGCGUUUAGUCGCAAGGUGUAGACCCGAAACCGGGCGAUCUAUCCAUGGCCAGGCUGAAGGUGUGGUAACACACACUGGAGGGCCGAACCCACGUCUGUUGAAAAAGACGGGGAUGAGCUGUGGAUCGGAGUGAAAGGCUAAUCAAGCUCGGAGAUAGCUGGUUCUCCUCGAAAGCUAUUUAGGUAGCGCCUCGUGUAUCACUGCUGGGGGUAGAGCACUGUUUCGGCUAGGGGGUCAUCCCGACUUACCAACCCGAUGCAAACUCCGAAUACCAGCAAGUGCAAGCACGGGAGACACACGGCGGGUGAUAAGGUCCGUCGUGAAAAGGGAAACAGCCCAGACCGUCAGCUAAGGUCCCCAAAUCUAUGCUCAGUGGGAAACGAUGUGGAAAGGCACAGACAGCCAGGAGGUUGGCUUAGAAGCAGCCAUCCUUUAAAGAAAGCGUAAUAGCUCACUGGUCGAGUCGGUCUGCGCGGAAGAUUUACCGGGGCUAAGCAUAGUACCGAAGCUACGGAUUUACGCGUUAAGCGUGAGUGGUAGAGGAGCGUUCCGUACGCCUGCGAAGGUUCAUUGAGAAGUGGGCUGGAGGUAUCGGAAGUGCGAAUGCUGACAUAAGUAACGAUAAAGGGGGUGAAAAACCCCCUCGCCGAAAACCCAAGGUUUCCUGCGCAACGUUAAUCGACGCAGGGUUAGUCGGCACCUAAGGCGAGGCUGAAAAGCGUAGUCGAUGGAAAACAGGUUAAUAUUCCUGUACCAGUAGUAACUGCGAUGGGGUGACGGAGAAGGCUAUAUCAGCUGUCGGUUGGAAGUGGCAGUUUAAGCAGGUAGGCAUGCAUCUUAGGCAAAUCCGGGGUGCUUUAUGCUGAGACGUGAUGACGAGCGGUUCGAAAGAACAGCGAAGUGAUAGAUGCCCUGCUUCCAGGAAAAACCUCUAAGCUUCAGGUUACUAGUGGCCGUACCCUAAACCGACACAGGUGGGUGGGAUGAAAAUUCUAAGGCGCUUGAGAGAACCCAGGUGAAGGAACUAGGCAAAAUGAUACCGUAACUUCGGGAGAAGGUAUGCCCUCAUUACGUGAAGGUCCUCGCGACUGGAGCGGAAGGGGGUUGCAAAAAAUCGGUGGCUGCGACUGUUUAGCAAAAACAUAGCACUCUGCAAACACGAAAGUGGACGUAUAGGGUGUGACGCCUGCCCGGUGCUGGAAGGUUAAUUGAUGGGGUUAUCUUCGGAGAAGCUCUUGAUCGAAGCCCCAGUAAACGGCGGCCGUAACUAUAACGGUCCUAAGGUAGCGAAAUUCCUUGUCGGGUAAGUUCCGACCUGCACGAAUGGCGUAACGAUGGCCACACUGUCUCCACCUGGGACUCAGUGAAAUUGAAAUCGCUGUGAAGAUGCAGUGUACCCGCGGCUAGACGGAAAGACCCCGUGCACCUUUACUAUAGCUUGACACUGGACUUUGAACCUACUUGUGUAGGAUAGGUGGGAGGCUUUGAAGCGGGAACGCCAGUUCUCGUGGAGCCAACCUUGAAAUACCACCCUGGUAUGUUUGGAGUUCUAACCUCGAUCCAUUAUCUGGAUUAGGGACAGUGUCUGGUGGGUAGUUUGACUGGGGCGGUCUCCUCCUAAAGAGUAACGGAGGAGCACGAAGGUACCCUCAGCCUGGUCGGAAAUCAGGCAAUGAGUGCAAAGGCAUAAGGGUGCUUGACUGCGAGACGGACAAGUCGAGCAGGUACGAAAGUAGGUCUUAGUGAUCCGGUGGUUCUGUAUGGAAGGGCCAUCGCUCAACGGAUAAAAGGUACGCCGGGGAUAACAGGCUGAUACCGCCCAAGAGUUCAUAUCGACGGCGGUGUUUGGCACCUCGAUGUCGGCUCAUCACAUCCUGGGGCUGAAGCAGGUCCCAAGGGUAUGGCUGUUCGCCAUUUAAAGUGGUACGCGAGCUGGGUUCAGAACGUCGUGAGACAGUUCGGUCCCUAUCUGCCGUGGGCGUUUGAGAUUUGAGGGAAGCUGCUCCUAGUACGAGAGGACCGGAGUGGACGAACCUCUGGUGUUCCGGUUGUCAUGCCAAUGGCAUUGCCGGGUAGCCACGUUCGGACAGGAUAACCGCUGAAAGCAUCUAAGCGGGAAGCCCCUCCCAAGAUGAGAUCUCACUGGGACUUUAAGUCCCCUGAAGGGCCGUCGGAGACUACGACGUUGAUAGGCACGGUGUGGAAGCGCAGUAAUGUGUGAAGCUAACGUGUACUAAUUGCCCGUGAGGCUUGACCAUAUAACACCCAAUGCGUUUGG